UACAGAGGGUGCGAGCGUUAAUCGGAAUUACUGGGCGUAAAGCGCACGUAGGCGGCUUGGUAUGUCGGGUGUGAAAUCCCCGGGCUCAACCUGGGAACUGCAUCCGAAAUUGCCUUGCUCGAGUAUGGGAGAGGGGAGUGGAAUUUCCGGUGUAGCGGUGAAAUGCGUAGAUAUCGGAAGGAACAUCAGUGGCGAAGGGGACUUCCUGGACCAAUACUGACGCUCAGGUGCGAAAGCGUGGGGAGCAAACAGG
Molecule: ribosomal RNA, 253 nt
Filed under: uncultured bacterium
Lineage: Bacteria
Description: partial 16S ribosomal RNA
Rfam family: Bacterial small subunit ribosomal RNA
Source: RNAcentral